RNAcentral lists this ribosomal RNA (253 nucleotides) under uncultured bacterium. RNAcentral's name for it is "partial 16S ribosomal RNA". It matches the Rfam family "Bacterial small subunit ribosomal RNA", at positions 524 to 776 of the family's 1533-position model. The record is from RNAcentral.
UACAGAGGUCCCAAGCGUUGUUCGGAUUCACUGGGCGUAAAGGGUGCGUAGGUGGCGGGGUAAGUUCGGUGUGAAAGCUUCGAGCUCAACUCGGAAAUGGCAUUGAAUACUAUCCUGCUUGAGGGUCGGAGGGGAGACUGGAAUUCUCGGUGUAGCAGUGAAAUGCGUAGAUAUCGAGAGGAACACCAGUGGCGAAGGCGAGUCUCUGGACGACUCCUGACACUGAGGCACGAAAGCUAGGGGAGCAAACAGG